Molecule: transfer RNA, 85 nt
Filed under: Gammaproteobacteria bacterium
Lineage: Bacteria; Pseudomonadati; Pseudomonadota; Gammaproteobacteria
Also listed under: 7 other names
Description: tRNA-Leu
Rfam family: tRNA
About the family: Transfer RNA (tRNA) molecules are approximately 80 nucleotides in length.
Source: RNAcentral
GCGCGAGUGGCGGAAUUGGUAGACGCACUGGAUUUAGGUUCCAGCGCCGCAAGGUGUAAGAGUUCGAGUCUCUUCUCGCGCACCA